UGAACCUGCGGAAGGAUCAUUACCGAGUUGAUUCGAGCUCCGGCUCGACUCUCCCACCCUAUGUGUACCUACCUCUGUUGCUUUGGCGGGCCGCGGUCCUCCGCACCGGCGCCCUUCGGGGGGCUGGCCAGCGCCCGCCAGAGGACCAUAAAACUCCAGUCAGUGAACUUCGCAGUCUGAAAAACAAGUUAAUAAACUAAAACUUUCAACAACGGAUCUCUUGGUUCUGGCAUCGAUGAAGAACGCAGCGAAAUGCGAUAAGUAAUGUGAAUUGCAGAAUUCAGUGAAUCAUCGAAUCUUUGAACGCACAUUGCGCCCCUUGGUAUUCCGAGGGGCAUGCCUGUUCGAGCGUCAUUUCAACCCUCAAGCUCUGCUUGGUAUUGGGCCCCGUCCUCCACGGACGCGCCUUAAAGACCUCGGCGGUGGCGUCUUGCCUCAAGCGUAGUAGAAAACACCUCGCUUUGGAGCGCACGGCGUCGCCCGCCGGACGAACCUUUGAAUUAUUUCUCAAGGUUGACCUCGGAUCAGGUAGGGAUACCCG
This 541-nucleotide ribosomal RNA is filed under the name Neofusicoccum parvum. RNAcentral's name for it is "eukaryotic LSU rRNA". The stretch from base 201 to 354 matches the Rfam family "5.8S ribosomal RNA". Lineage: Eukaryota; Fungi; Ascomycota; Dothideomycetes; Botryosphaeriales; Botryosphaeriaceae. The record is from RNAcentral.